RNAcentral lists this ribosomal RNA (258 nucleotides) under uncultured bacterium. RNAcentral's name for it is "partial 16S ribosomal RNA". It matches the Rfam family "Bacterial small subunit ribosomal RNA", at positions 98 to 354 of the family's 1533-position model. The record is from RNAcentral.
CGGGACGGGUGAGUAACGCGUGAGUAACCUGCCUUUCAGAGGGGGAUAACAUCCUGAAAAGGAUGCUAAUACCGCAUAACAUCUUUUUAUCGCAUGGUAGAGAGAUCAAAGGAGCAAUCCGCUGAAAGAUGGACUCGCGUCCGAUUAGCCAGUUGGCGGGGUAACGGCCCACCAAAGCGACGAUCGGUAGCCGGACUGAGAGGUUGAACGGCCACAUUGGGACUGAGACACGGCCCAGACUCCUACGGAAGGCAGCAG